RNAcentral lists this ribosomal RNA (460 nucleotides) under uncultured bacterium. Its description in RNAcentral is "bacterial SSU rRNA". It matches the Rfam family "Bacterial small subunit ribosomal RNA", at positions 339 to 796 of the family's 1533-position model. The record is from RNAcentral.
AUACGGAAGGCAGCAGUGAGGAAUAUUGGUCAAUGGCCGGAAGGCUGAACCAGCCAUCCCGCGUGCAGGAUGACGGCCCUAUGGGUUGUAAACUGCUUUUGUACCUGAAGAAACCUGGUUACGUGUAACCAGUUGCCGGUAAGGUAUGAAUAAGCAUCGGCUAACUCCGUGCCAGCAGCCGCGGUAAUACGGAGGAUGCAAGCGUUAUCCGGAUUCAUUGGGUUUAAAGGGUGCGCAGGUGGGAAGAUAAGUCAGUGGUGAAAUACUGCCGCUUAACGGUAGAAUUGCCAUUGAUACUGUUUUUCUUGAGUAUGGUUGAGGUAGGUGGAAUGUGUUGUGUAGCGGUGAAAUGCAUAGAUAUGACACAGAACGCCGAUUGCGAAGGCAGCUUACUAAGCCAUUACUGACGCUGAGGCACGAAAGCGUGGGGAUCAAACAGGAUUAGAUACCCGUGUAGUCG